This 951-nucleotide ribosomal RNA is filed under the name Serratia sp. (in: enterobacteria). RNAcentral's name for it is "bacterial SSU rRNA". It matches the Rfam family "Bacterial small subunit ribosomal RNA", at positions 80 to 1018 of the family's 1533-position model. Lineage: Bacteria; Pseudomonadati; Pseudomonadota; Gammaproteobacteria; Enterobacterales; Yersiniaceae. The record is from RNAcentral.
GGGGGCGGGUGGUCAAAGGGGGGAGGGAGAUUUGUGUCAGGGGCACUGACUGAUGGAAGGGGAUAGCUAAAGUGGGUCGUAUCCCAGACCUCACUCCGUCUUCCGAGCUGGGUGGUGGACCUUCUGGCCUCACGCCAUCAUGAUGUGCCCAGAUGGGAUUAUCUAUGGUGAGGGGUAAUGGCUCACCUAGGCGACGAUCCCUACCUGGUCUGAGAGGAUGACCACCCACUGUGAAACUGACACACCGCCCACACUCCUACGAGAGGCAGCUGUGGGGAAUAUUGCACAGUGGGCGCAAGCCUGAUGCAGCCAUGCCGCGUGGGAGAAGAACGCCUUCGGGUUGUACCUCUCUUUCUACGAAGAGGAAGGGUUCAAUGUUAAUAGCACUGUACAUUGCCGUUACUCACAUAACAACCACCGGCUAACUCCGUGCCAGCAGCCGCGGUAAUACAGAGGGUGCAAGCGUUAAUCGGAAUUACUGGGCGUAAAGCGCACGCAGGCGGUUUGUUAAUUCAGAUGUGAAAUCCCCGCGCUUAACGUGGGAACUGCAUUUGUAACUGACACUCUAGAGUCUUGUAUAGGGGGGGUAGAAUUCCAAGUGUAGCAGUGAAAUGCGUAGAGAUCUGGAGGAAUACCGGUGGCGAAGGCGGUCCCCUGGACAAAGACUGACACUCAGUGCAAAAGCGUGCGGAGCAAACAGGAUUAUAUACCCUGGUAGUCCACUCUGUAAACGAUGUCGACUUGUAGGUUGUGCCCUUGACGCGUGACUUCCGCAGCUAACGCGUUACGUCGACAGCGCUGGGGAGUACAGCCGCUAAGGCUGAAAACUCACAUGAACUGACGGGGCGCGCCGCACUAAGCUGGUAGGAGCAUGUGGAUUAACUUCGACUGCACGUCGAAGUGACCUUAGCUACUCUGACAUCACAGACUCGUCAGAGAUGCUUACUGCUG